RNAcentral lists this non-coding RNA (22 nucleotides) under Arabidopsis thaliana (thale cress). Lineage: Eukaryota; Viridiplantae; Streptophyta; Magnoliopsida; Brassicales; Brassicaceae. The record is from RNAcentral.
UUUAAAAGACAUAAUUUCAGCU